GCCCUGCCAUUUUUAUCUUUGGCUGUUUGUGCAGCAGCUCCUAACUUCUGCUGACCUGUAGAACCCGAAUAGUCCAAUGAGCUCAAAAGUUUUAUAAUCACUGAACUCAAAAGUAACAAACAAGUUGAGUUAGCUUAAAACCUAUAAGCCGAUUCAACUUUUGCCACAGUUAUAUGUUUAUUGGACUAAAACAUUUUGAGUAAAUGAAACCUUGGAGUCAAAACUUAUGAGUAAUGAGACGUGAUGACGUCAUAACGUACGCCCAUGAACGUGAACUCAGCCGCAGAAGUCUUCAAGAUGGCGGAGGUCUGAUGCGAGUGUCAGCUGGCCCAAGUUGAUAACGCACAUACGUCUAGUGAACCGGCGGUGCGUUUGAAAAAUAAGAGCGGAGAUGUGAGCUGAGUUUCAUCGCAUCACAAAUGUCAAACUGUUAAAACAGUUUUAUUUUGACCUGGACAGACAGACGCAGAGGAUGCUGAUCUUUUUGAGACAGAAGGCAGCACGAACCGGAAGGCUCUAUGCGACUUUCUGCACCUCUAUGAUAAACAGCAAGAGCAGACUGCUGAUGUCAAAGGUACUCCUGUCCUGCACUGGCUUCCCAUAUACAAACGUGAGGAGGACCCACAGUUCUUCAAAGUUUGGAAUAUUAAAGAGUCACCAGAGGCAGACAUCAGCAUCACCUCUGUUGGCAUUCUGACCGUCAGCAACAACAACACAAGUUCAGUGCAUUUCUGUCCGCUCAGUACAGCAGUUGUGGUGGAAGAUGAGCUUGUGGUAGGCAAAUUUCCUAAAUGGGUAUUUUUUUGAGCGCUAAUGUUUAUAGGGAAAGGGCAGCCUAAGAAAAUACUGUUUUAUGUGGGAAAAGUAUAAAAAGAAAAGGCUGAUAAACAAUUUUUGCUUUUCUUGAAAUGUAAGAAUGCUCUUUUUUUAUGAAGUUGUAUAAGGAAAUGGUGUAAAAAAGAUUAGUGCUCAUUUUUUGCUUUUCUUGAAGACUGAUUUAUUUAUUUUUUAUGGCUUGUGCACUUUUUCUUAACACAAAUUGUGCAGUGUUUUACCUUUUUGUAGUACCACAAGUUGUUCAAAUGUACUUGUGUAAGGUGGUUUAAAAAUAAACUUGCAAUUACAA
Molecule: non-coding RNA, 1126 nt
Organism: Oryzias latipes (Japanese medaka)
Lineage: Eukaryota; Metazoa; Chordata; Actinopteri; Beloniformes; Adrianichthyidae
Source: RefSeq, a predicted model, not a curated record